GGUCACUGUAGUAAAGGAUGUGAGUACAAUUGUUCUGACUGUGUGUUCCUGUGUUUGUAGGUCAGCAGAACCAGCCUCAGAGCUUGAUGACAGACUACAGUAAGGCCUGGGAGGACUACUACAAGAAACAAAGUCAGUCGUCUCAGCAGAGUUCGGUGCCAGACUACACUGCAGCGUUAGCAGAAUACUACAGACAGCAGCCCUACCUGUGGAACCCCGCCCAGAUACAGGAUCACUAGAGGCUCCUCCCUCGCCGGUGAAGGCCUCGGAUGGUCGUCGACGGCAACCGAAUCGGGGUUUCCUAGCAACGCUCUGCCGCUUCCUCCUUCCUUUUGUAGAGAAAAACUAAGGAUUAACUGAAAAAUCACGAACUCUUUUCUUUCUGUUUUUUAACCUUACAAAGUUGAUAUUUUGUCGGGCAGAUUUUUUUGGACUAGCCUCUGGUCUCUCCACAGUGUAGACCUGGUUUUUCUUUUUGUUUUGUUUUUUAUCAAACUUGAACUUAAAGAUGUAUCAGUGUGGCUUUGAACAAAAAAAAUCCAGUAUAAUCUAUAUUUUGUCUAGUUUUAUUUUCCAAUAAGAAAACGGUAUAAGGCUUAGCAGUCUUGAGUAAGAAAAUCAGAUAUUAUUAUUAUUAUUAUUAUUUUGUUUAUGAUAAUGUUUUAAAGCAUGCGUCAGAUUGUGUGUGUUGACUCUCAGUUAUUAUUUUUUUUUAUUUUGGCAUAGAAAUAUUUUAAUAGCGUCAGAUGGAAAUUUAAUGUUUUACCGUCAGAGACAAAAACUGUUUUUUGUACUAAAUUUGUGCUCGCUGGGUCUGUUUGUUCUCGAUCUAAUUUUACCUGUUAAGUCGCCAUCUUGGAGGUGCAAUGACGCGUUUGUUUUCUUUUGGUUUGAUGAUAGUUCUUAUACCUGUAUCUCUAUAGUGAUUCUUUAGUUUUUAUGAUGUAAUGAUGAAUAAAUGACGAUUUAUAUUGCGUUGUCUAAAGCCAGAUCUCUCUGUGGUCAAACACAGGAUUUAACCUCCAGCUGACACCAUGUUUCCCCGCCUCAACUUUCAUUACAAAAAGGCGGGAAAUGACUAUUUUCUUACAAAGUGAAACUUUAUUAUUGUUGUUGUAACUUAGUUCUGCAUUUCUACUUUUGCCGAUUUGUUUGUGGAAGAAGUGUUCGGAGCUGAACAAUGAAGUUAUCGAUUCUAUUAGCGAUGUGAUGGCUAACCGAGCGCGUUAGCUAAAUGCGCGAGUUAGCUAAAUGUUUGUUAGCAAAAAGAUGUGCGUUACCUCAACUCUGUGUGUGUGUUUGUGUGUGUGUGUGUGUGUGUGUGUGUGUGUGUUAGCUGUUUAAUUAGCUGAAUGUACAACCGAAAGAUGUUUUGUCUGAACAAUGUGUUUGUGUUAGCUUUGUGAGCAUCGAGUUAUCUUUUACUGAACAUGCGCGUUGUUAAUUUUAGUUGUUUGAGUGAAUGUGUCUGUUUCUGUUUGUUCGGUGUUUGUUAGCUAUUAGCGAAACCUGUGCACUCACAACAUAAAGUACAGACAGUCGAUGGCUGAAUGAGGAAAACUAAUUCUAGUGGUGAUUCCAAAUCGGAGAUAUUGUGAAUUUCUUGAGAUAUUUCCCAUUUUGAAGAUAAAGUAAACAACCCAGUGACAAAAUGGCUCCAAAGAACCUCCACUGGCAUUAACAUCUGAAUAAAACCCAACACAAACACUAAUAUAAUCUAUUUUGCUAAUUAAAAAGAAGCUAUGCACUGUUUGCAUUUAAUUUUACUAGCUAUCGAACUGCCAUAAUGUAAAAACUAAUUAUAAUAACUCAAUUUAUUUGGCGUAACUGUAAACGGGGUUACGGCUUUGAAUAUUUUCUGUGAAUGUGACGUUAGCUGAACAGUGUGUGGUGGUAUGAACGGGUUAGCUUCACUUUGUACAUUACGUCUCAGCGGUGUUUGUUCUGGAGCUCAACUGUGAGUAUAUUAGAUUAACGUGGUUGGCUGCUGUUCGCUGUGUGUCUGUCGCGGCUGGAUUAUGCUUCUCGAACUUUCCAGAGAAGUCUGCGUAGUUUAUUUUUAGACGUCUACGAAUGUUUUCGAGCCCACCUCCCAGCAGGACUUUGGAUCUAGCAGCUAGCUUGUUUUUUAACGCACGUUUUAGAUCCGGGAGACUUGUGAAUUCAGCCUACAGUCGCCCACAGAUGAGACGUUGGCGUGCGUUUGUAGAGGUGUAACUCCGGCCGUAGCUGUGUGUUUGUUAGCAGUGAGUGUGCGUCGGCGUCGUGCGUGUCGGACCACAGAGAGGUUUGUCUUGCGUUGAGGGAGAUCUGGCUGUUGUUGCGUUGAAUAUUGAAUCAGUGGUUCUGCUUCUUGUAUGUGUGACGAUGAUGAUGAUAAUAAUAAUGACGACGAUAAUAAUGAGUUCUCCUGUACAGGGGUCUAUUUAAAUCUGUUCAUGAAUAUUCAGUUUGUCGAUAAGAUAAUAUGGUUUGUGUAAAUUUCCACUCUCUGGCGGGUGCUCUCCAGUUAAAAAUGUACUUUGUUAUCCUGUUAAAAUGAGAUUGUUUAAUUCACAUGUUGUGUCUAACCGAUUUGCAAAGAGAAGCUGAGUGUUAUAUUCUCAAGACUGCUAGGCUAACUGUCUCUAUCUCUUCUCCUUGUCUUUCUGUCUCUGUCCGUCUCCACGUUGCCGCGUUAAAAAGUCAGCGGGAUUUCUCAACGCGUCUGGUGAGGCGCGUUGAGCGGUUCCCGCCACUUGUUAGCGUGGCGGCGGCGAGGCGAGGAGAGCUGUAGUGAGGGGGUUUUACUCCCCGAAAAAUGAUUUAAAAACACCGGAGUGGACGGCGGCUCGGUGUCCGGUUCUGUAGGCUCAGUGCUUGAACCCGUACUGGGUCUAAACCAGUAACCAACUGGUCCCAACGUUCCAGAACCAGGACCGGACACAGCGUCGCCGGCCCACUCCGGUUUAGAUCUUCCUAGCCCCGAUCCCUCGUCCUGAAGGGGGGGCGUGGAGCUUUUUGGUUUCAUGGUUUCUGUUGUUUUUCUAAUGGACCGACGUCCUAACUGUAACCUGCAGAUUUUUCUAUUAGAUUCUAUUGACAGAUAGAGUUGUGUAUGAACCCGAGCCACGAGACUGUCGGUGGCCGAGGAAGAGGAAGAUGGAUGAUGAUGAUUAACAUGAGGGCUAAUAAACAGGCUCAUUCUUUCUGA
Molecule: long non-coding RNA, 3193 nt
Organism: Morone saxatilis (striped sea-bass)
Lineage: Eukaryota; Metazoa; Chordata; Actinopteri; Moronidae
Exons: 3
Source: RefSeq, a predicted model, not a curated record